CAUGGUGGGGCAAGCGUUGUUCGGAAUUACUGGGCAUAAAGGGUGCGUAGGCGGCUUGUUAAGUCAGGGGUGAAAGUUUUCGGCCCAACCGGAAAAUUGCCUUUGAUACUGGCGAGCUUGAGUGCGUGAGGGGUAACCGGAACGAGUCGUGUAGCGGUGAAAUGCGUAGAUAUGACUCGGAAGGCCAACGGCGAAGGCAGGUUACUGGUACGCAACUGACGCUGAGGCACGAAAGCGUGGGGAGCAAACAGGAUUAGAUACCCUGGUAGUCCACGCCGUAAACGAUGAGCACUAGGUAGGUGCCGAGCUAUUCGGUGCCUGCCGCAGAUAAUUUGGUAAGUGCUCCGCCUGGGGAGUAUGGUCGCAAGGCUG
Molecule: ribosomal RNA, 372 nt
Filed under: uncultured organism
Description: bacterial SSU rRNA
Rfam family: Bacterial small subunit ribosomal RNA
Source: RNAcentral